CACCAAGACAUGUGACCAAAUUUAAUUGGCUCAAGCCUUGAGUGGGACACUUGUCACUCUUAGGGGCUGCCUAUAUAAGGAAAAAUCUGAUGUUUAAGUGUUCAUUUUAUCAUCUUCAACAUUACAAGAAAAGAGAAAAACCUAGAGAUAGAGAAGGGGGGGCUCACGGCCAUGGUGAAAAAAAUCCAUGUUCACCAAGCUUGGUCCAAUUAAUUUUUCCAUGGUGUUGUAAAUCAAAUGGAGGUCUUUGGGAACAUGAAUUGGUCCUUGAGAGCAGCAAGAAUGGUCUUUAAUUGAAGCCAUUAAAUUCAGCAAAUUAAGGAGCAACUUGCUAAGACCUUGGGCAGCCCGAAUCAUAGGUUGGAUUUAGCUUGAGUUUGGAUCGUAUUGGAGAGCGUUUGAGGUACAGACGCACACCCUGGUGAUCCACCUGUUUAGGACACCCUUUCUGCUAUUCGGAGUGCUCCUCUCUUUCCGGAGCUUAUACUUUUGGUAUAUAUAUUUAUUAGUGCAUUUGUA
This is a long non-coding RNA of Lycium barbarum (goji berry), 519 nucleotides long. RefSeq lists it as uncharacterized. Lineage: Eukaryota; Viridiplantae; Streptophyta; Magnoliopsida; Solanales; Solanaceae. The record is from RefSeq and is a predicted model, not a curated record. The transcript is spliced from 3 exons.